GCCCGCUUAGCUUAGAGGUUAGAGCAAAUGCGAUGGUCAUCGGUUCGAUUCCGAUAGCCGGCU
Molecule: transfer RNA, 63 nt
Filed under: Stewartia cordifolia
Lineage: Eukaryota; Viridiplantae; Streptophyta; Magnoliopsida; Ericales; Theaceae
Description: tRNA-Thr
Rfam family: tRNA
About the family: Transfer RNA (tRNA) molecules are approximately 80 nucleotides in length. Their secondary structure includes four short double-helical elements and three loops (D, anti-codon, and T loops). Further hydrogen bonds mediate the characteristic L-shaped molecular structure. tRNAs have two regions of fundamental functional importance: the anti-codon, which is responsible for specific mRNA codon recognition, and the 3' end, to which the tRNAs corresponding amino acid is attached (by aminoacyl-tRNA synthetases). tRNAs cope with the degeneracy of the genetic code in two manners: having more than one tRNA (with a specific anti-codon) for a particular amino acid; and 'wobble' base-pairing, i.e. permitting non-standard base-pairing at the 3rd anti-codon position.
Source: RNAcentral